This 542-nucleotide long non-coding RNA is filed under the name Medicago truncatula (barrel medic). RNAcentral describes it as "long non-coding RNA (MTRU_LNC003416)". The record is from RNAcentral. Lineage: Eukaryota; Viridiplantae; Streptophyta; Magnoliopsida; Fabales; Fabaceae.
UGAACAUUAGUUUCUUGUUUCUUAUUUUGGACAAAGAAAACAUGUUUGGUUUUUGCCUAGCCAAACCAUGCAUGUUCCAUUCUUUCCCAACUCAUGUCAUAGAAACCCAUUCCUAAUACAAGUCUUUGUUGUCUGGGUUGAUAUAAAGGAACAAUUCAAAACCUAAAACAUUCCUUCACUACUUGGCUUCUUCACUCUAAAAUGGAAAGUUUUCACUAAUAUCUUACUUUUUAGACCCCACAUUUCUUUCCCUCUUGCUCAUUUUUCUCUUUAUGUUAUUGCUAGUUGAAUGUUACAUCACGUGCAGGCAAUUUUUGGUCGAGGCACCAAUGAUUUAAAUCAUUUAAUGAAUGCAAAUUAAGCCAUACUAUUAGUAUAUCAGAAUUGCAAUUUGAUUAUUUGAAUAAUUUCUUGGUGUCAACAAUCUCUUUAAAUUCAUAUUUACCUGACACUAAUGCCAACCGCAAGUUGGUUGUUAAGUUUGUGUUUAGUUUAUAGUUAUAGCUAAGGAAUUCGGAUUGCGUGCAAUCUGCAUCCUUAAU